This 1721-nucleotide long non-coding RNA is filed under the name Sus scrofa (pig). RNAcentral describes it as "lncRNA (ENSSSCG00070023497.1)". Lineage: Eukaryota; Metazoa; Chordata; Mammalia; Artiodactyla; Suidae. The record is from RNAcentral.
UAAAAUAUGUGGAAAUCACACUAUUUAUCCACAAAAUAGUUAUGCUAUGCCCCCUCACACACACACACACACACACACACACACACACACACACACACAGGCAAGAGCUCAAUGAGUUGAGAAGUCAAUAACAGGGGCACUUUUUAUUUUUCCCUCCUCUCCUUUAUAAGAGCGUCUCCUGGCUGGGAAGGGAGAAAGAAGAUAAACAGCCAACUCUGAAGGCUUUUGAAGCUGGCCUAUCAACAAAGGAUCUUCUAAAUCAAUUCCCCAGCAGAAACGGAAUGCAGGCGCUUCUCAGAAAUGUCUCACAAAGAAGCACAGAGAAAGGCUCUCUGAAGGCGGAAGCAGGAGAUGUUUCCAUCCUAAAGAUGGAAAUUGAGGAUGGGCAGAAAGCCCCUGCCAGAAAAUCUUCCCUGGGGUCAGCAGGGCCUCGUGGCUCUGGGACCACUUCAGCACCAGCCAUUCCAAGACGGUCAGAACACUUUCUCUGGGUCACACGGUAGAUUCAACCUCCUUUCAGCCCUUUCAGGUGGAUGGUCCUUUGGAUGGUUUCCACACUUUGACUCAGUUUCUGCAUCAGAUGCUGCCUCUCUCAUCACCCCUCUCUGCCCUACCAAUGGAACACUGGAUGUGAUGUGCUAUCUUCCAGGGCAGUACUCCUGAAUCCGGGGCUCCCUGAUGUUCGCCGGCUUGGCCACAGGGAGAAUGGACCACCACAGGCAGUGGGAGCAAUGUGCAAUAUCAAAAUGACUUCUAUCAAGAGUCCUCUGCUCCACCCAGAUCCCCCAGUCAGGUAUUAGCAGAUGCCUAGAGGACACAGGUUCCAAGCCCACAGAAUUUAAGAUCCUAAAAUGUGUCCUCCAGGUCAGAGCCAAAGCCCCAUAACAUAUAUUAUCUUCCCAAAAAGGGAGGAGAUAGGAGAGUGAAUUCUCAACACACCUGAGGACACACACUGAUCGUAAUUCAAUUUGAAUACUUCUAAUGUUUGUUAAGUGAACAGAUCUAAGGACUAUCCCCCAAGAUCUUUUCUUAUGAAGACAACCAAGCUCAGCCAUUCUGCACUGAUGUGUUUAGGUGUUCCUCUCAAAAGGUGACCUUUUUAUAAAUUUUGAGAACCUCCUAUCAUUAUGUCCUACCCUCCCCCACUUCAACACAAUUAAAAGGAGGCAUUUCACCAAUGAUCUUGGUAGCUUCCUCCCAUUCCUUCUCAUUUUCCCAGAGUUAAGUCCUUUUUCAAAGCCAGCCUUUGCCUCAGCCCAUCUUUAUGCCCAUCUGGAAACACAGCUGGCUUUUUCCAUGAAAUAGAGUUUCCUUUCCCUAUCUGGAUCAUGUUAAGCCAGGAGAGCAGGAGCCACAGCCUCAGAUUUUGUGGGAUUAAUGCAACAUGGCAUGAGUCACUGAGCCUCUCCACAAAAUUGAGGGAAAUAGGAGUUCCAGCUGUGGCACAGUGGGUUAAGACCUGUCAUGGCUCAGAGGAAACAAAUCUGACUAGCAUCCAUGAGGAUACAGGUUCAAUCCCUGGCCUCACUCAGUGGGUUAAGGAUCUGGCAUUGCUGUGAGCCAUAGUGUAGGUCAAAGAUGUGGCUCAGAUCUCACGUUGCUGUGGCUGUGUCGUAGGCCAGCAACCUCAGCUCCUAUUCAACCCCUAGCCUGGGAACAUACAUAUGCCAUAACUGUGGCACUUAAAAAAAAUAAUAAAGACAAAAGGGAAAAAAAAUACA